ACGCACGCUGGCGGCGUGCUUCACACAUGCCAGUCGAACGCUGAAGCUCAGCUUUUGUUGGGUGGAUGAGUGGCGAACGGGUGAGUAACACGUGAGUAACCUGCCCCCUUCUUUGGGAUAACGCCCGGAAACGGGUGCUAAUACUGGAUAUUCACUGGUCUUCGCAUGGGGGUUGGUGGAAAGGGUUUUUCUGGUGGGGGAUGGGCUCGCGGCCUAUCAGCUUGUUGGUGGGGUGAUGGCCUACCAAGGCUUUGACGGGUAGCCGGCCUGAGAGGGUGACCGGUCACAUUGGGACUGAGAUACGGCCCAGACUCCUACGGGAGGCAGCAGUGGGGAAUAUUGCACAAUGGGCGCAAGCCUGAUGCAGCGACGCCGCGUGAGGGAUGGAGGCCUUCGGGUUGUGAACCUCUUUCGCUCAUGGUCAAGCCGCAACAAUGGUUGUGGUGAGGGUAGUGGGUAAAGAAGCGCCGGCUAACUACGUG
Molecule: ribosomal RNA, 482 nt
Filed under: uncultured bacterium
Lineage: Bacteria
Description: partial 16S ribosomal RNA
Rfam family: Bacterial small subunit ribosomal RNA
Source: RNAcentral